RNAcentral lists this non-coding RNA (21 nucleotides) under Arabidopsis thaliana (thale cress). The record is from RNAcentral. Lineage: Eukaryota; Viridiplantae; Streptophyta; Magnoliopsida; Brassicales; Brassicaceae.
GAAAGGUUUUAGGUUUGUGCA